CUCACUUUUGCUGUUUUUGUUUAGUUUGUGAACAAAGACUUAGACAAAGUGCAAAAAAUAAAUCCUCUUUUGCAACCCAGGGGAAAAAAAAUUUUUUUAAGUAGGAAAGGGACAUG
Molecule: small nucleolar RNA, 116 nt
Organism: Lontra canadensis (Northern American river otter)
Lineage: Eukaryota; Metazoa; Chordata; Mammalia; Carnivora; Mustelidae
Product: small nucleolar RNA SNORA40
Exons: 1
Source: RefSeq, a predicted model, not a curated record